Molecule: ribosomal RNA, 393 nt
Filed under: uncultured bacterium
Lineage: Bacteria
Description: partial 16S ribosomal RNA
Rfam family: Bacterial small subunit ribosomal RNA
Source: RNAcentral
AUACGGAGGAUGCGAGCGUUAUCCGGAUUUAUUGGGUUUAAAGGGUGCGCAGGCGGGCGAUUAAGUCAGCGGUGAAAGGCUCGGGCUCAACCGGAGCAGUGCCGUUGAUACUGGUUGUCUUGAAUGCGGUCAAGGCCGGCGGAAUGUGGCGUGUAGCGGGGAAAUGCAUAGAUAUGCCACAGAACACCGAUAGCGAAGGCAGCUGGCCGGGCCUGCAUUGACGCUGAGGCACGAAAGCGUGGGGAUCGAACAGGAUUAGAUACCCUGGUAGUCCACGCUGUAAACGAUGGACACUCGUUGUCGGCGACAGACAGUCGGCGGCCAAGCGAAAGUGAUAAGUGUCCCACCUGGGGAGUACGGUCGCAAGGUUGAAACUCAAAUGAAUUGACGGGG